UGCUGGGCUCGCGGGUCGCGCGUCCUGGACGCUGGCCGCGGCCGCCCUUACUAACCCCUGGGGCCAGGAGACGAGGCGCCGCCGCCGCUGCGCCGCCAUGUUGUUUGCGGACUGUCGCCCCAGAUGGCAAGGAGGGGGUUCGGACUAGAGGCUCGGGACUGGGGGGGACAAGGCGAGGCCUGCAAAGGGUCGCGCAGGGAUAGAGCGUUCCCGAGUGGCGCCUGUGGGGCGGGGCGAGCACGGCAGCCUCCUCUGCACGGACGGCCCUGACUUGGGGCGCGUAGACCCGCGGGAUCUAGGCUGGUGGCCUUUUCCUCCCCAGCGCCCGCAAAGCCGUCGCCUUGGGGCCAAUGCUUGUCCCUGCCACCCCUGCCCGCCCACACGCCCGCUUGCCCCAGGAGAGAGGUCUCGAGCCUGCGCAUCCUUUUUUAGUCGACCGACCCUUUCUAGAUGCCCAGAGAUCCCCUACCUACAAAGGAAAAGCCUAGGGUGGGGGGAAGGGAAGUGAGACGUCGUGGGCCCCACCUUCCGCACCGCAGGGUGGGACGGCCAGGCCACACUUUCCAUUCCUGUUCCUCUCGUCCCCACUUGGACUGCCAAAUCCGCCUCUCCCUUCCCGUCCCCACGCGCCUACAUCUCGCUCUCUCCCUGCAUCCCUUUGCUGCCUCCGAUCCCUUCCUUUUAUAAGUUACAGAUGGACAGACCCAAGCUCUGCCGCAUUAAUGUCAUCAUUAAUAUGGGAACGAACUUUAAAACCGAGGAGGAAAGCUUUUAAUCAUGAUACUAAACCACCCCCAGCCCCGCCUCCAUCCCCACCCCCACGAUGAAGCCACAUAGACAUUUCCUUUCCUUUCCGCCCCUCCUUUUGCUUUUCUCAGUCUGCUGGAGCUGCGGAGACACCUGCUGAUUUAAGGGAAGGGAGAGAGCAAGAAUGCGCUGCAUCGCCUAUUAAAAAAUUUUCUUUCCUUCUUAGACCUCUGAAAUACUCAUUCUAUAGGGAGGAACAUACAGUUAUUUCCUACUUUUAGCAGGGGUCACGGGUUCGAACCCUGGUCUGGGAAGAUCCCACAUGCCGCGGAGCAGCUAACCCCGGGCGCCACAACUACUGAGCCUGCAUUCUAGAGCCUGCGAGCCACAACUACUGAGACUGUGCUCCAAAACUACUGAACCCCGCGCGCCUAAAUCCUGUGCUCCACAACAAGAGAAGCCACUGCAAUGAGAAGCCCACGCACUGCAAAGAAGAGUAGCCCCCGCUCGCCACAACUAGAGGAAAGCCCGCAUGCAGUAAUGAAGACCCAAUGCCGCCAAAGAUAAAUUUAUAAAAAAUAAAUGAAUAAAGUAUGUGGGACCAUAUGUGUAGGUUAUAUGCAAAGACUAUAACAUUUUAUAAGGGACUUGAGCAUCCUUGGAUUUUGGUAUCCACA
This is a long non-coding RNA of Globicephala melas (long-finned pilot whale), 1424 nucleotides long. RefSeq lists it as uncharacterized. NCBI's taxonomy places the organism in Eukaryota, Metazoa, Chordata, Mammalia, Artiodactyla, Delphinidae. The record is from RefSeq and is a predicted model, not a curated record.